UACGUAGGGCGCAAGCGUUAUCCGGAAUUAUUGGGCGUAAAGAGCUCGUAGGCGGUUUGUCGCGUCGGAUGUGAAAGCCCGGGGCUUAACUCCGGGUCUGCAUUCGAUACGGGCAGGCUAGAGUGUGGUAGGGGAGAUCGGAAUUCCUGGUGUAGCGGUGAAAUGCGCAGAUAUCAGGAGGAACACCGGUGGCGAAGGCGGAUCUCUGGGCCAUUACUGACGCUGAGGAGCGAAAGCGUGGGGAGCGAACAGG
RNAcentral lists this ribosomal RNA (253 nucleotides) under uncultured bacterium. Its description in RNAcentral is "partial 16S ribosomal RNA". It matches the Rfam family "Bacterial small subunit ribosomal RNA", at positions 524 to 776 of the family's 1533-position model. The record is from RNAcentral.